AGGAUUAACGCUGGCGGCGUGCCUGACACAUGCAAGUCGAACGAGGCCGCAAGGCCGAGUGGCGGACGGGUGAGUAACACGUGACCAACCAACCUCGAAGUUGGGAAUAGCUCUGCGAAAGUAGGGGUAAUACCGAAUGUGGCCCAGGGCAGGCAUCUGCCUUGGUCUAAAGAUUCAUCGCUUCGAGACGGGGUCGCGGCCUAUUAGCUUGUUGGUGGGGUAACGGCUCACCAAGGCGAUGAUGGGUAGCUGGUCUGAGAGGACGACCAGCCACACUGGGACUGAGACACGGCCCAGACUCCUACGGGAGGCAGCAGUGAGGAAUCUUCCGCAAUGGGCGAAAGCCUGACGGAGCAACGCCGCGUGUGGGAUGAAGGCUCUAGGGUUGUAAACCACUGUCGAAGGGGACGAUAAUGACGGUACCCUUGGAGGAAGCCCGGCUAACUACGCGCCAGCAGCCGC
Molecule: ribosomal RNA, 462 nt
Filed under: uncultured bacterium
Lineage: Bacteria
Description: SSU rRNA
Rfam family: Bacterial small subunit ribosomal RNA
Source: RNAcentral